GAAAUGCGAUAAGUAGUGUGAAUUGCAGAAUUCAGUGAAUCAUCGAAUCUUUGAACGCACAUUGCGCCCUUUGGUAUUCCUUAGGGCAUGCCUGUUCGAGCGUCAUCUAAACCUUCAAGCCCUGUUUGGUGUUGGGUGCCUGUCCCGCCUCCGCGCGCGGACUCACCUCAAAUCCAUUGGCGGCCCCCGCGUCGGCCACGAGCGCAGCAGAAACGCGAACUCGUGAGCCCGUCCGGGCGGCUCCCAGAAGCUACACCCACCCAGUUUGACCUCGGAUCAGGUAGGGAUACCCGCUGAACUUAAGC
Molecule: unclassified non-coding RNA, 305 nt
Filed under: plant metagenome
Description: partial contains 5.8S ribosomal RNA, internal transcribed spacer 2, and large subunit ribosomal RNA
Rfam family: 5.8S ribosomal RNA (bases 1-105)
Source: RNAcentral